Molecule: ribosomal RNA, 388 nt
Filed under: uncultured bacterium
Lineage: Bacteria
Description: bacterial SSU rRNA
Rfam family: Bacterial small subunit ribosomal RNA
Source: RNAcentral
GACGAACGCUGGCGGCGUGCUUAACACAUGCAAGUCGAGCGGUAAGGCCCUUUCGGGGGUACACGAGCGGCGAACGGGUGAGUAACACGUGGGUGACCUGCCCUCAGCUCUGGGAUAAGCCUGGGAAACCGGGUCUAAUACCGGAUAUGACUCCAUGGCGCAUGUUGUGGGGUGGAAAGCCUUGUGCGGCUGAGGAUGGGCCCGCGGCCUAUCAGCUUGUUGGUGGGGUGAUGGCCUACCAAGGCGACGACGGGUAGCCGGCCUGAGAGGGCGACCGGCCACACUGGGGACUGAGACACGGCCCAGACUCCUACGGGAGGCAGCAGUGGGGAAUCUUGCGCAAUGGGCGAAAGCCGGACGCAGCGACGCCGCGUGAGGGAUGACGGCC